GACGAACGCUGGCGGCGUGCCUAAUACAUGCAAGUCGAGCGAACAGACGAGGAGCUUGCUCCUCUGACGUUAGCGGCGGACGGGUGAGUAACACGUGGAUACCCUACCUAUAAGACUGGGAUAACUUCGGGAAACCGGAGCUAAUACCGGAUAAUAUAUUGAACCGCAUGGUUCAAUAGUGAAAGACGGUUUUGCUGUCACUUAUAGAUGGAUCCGCGCCGCAUUAGCUAGUUGGUAAGGUAACGGCUUACCAAGGCAACGAUGCGUAGCCGACCUGAGAGGGUGAUCGGCCACACUGGAACUGAGACACGGUCCAGACUCCUACGGGAGGCAGCAGUAGGGAAUCUUCCGCAAUGGGCGAAAGCCUGACGGAGCAACGCCGCGUGAGUGAUGAAGGUCUUCGGAUCGUAAAACUCUGUUAUUAGGGAAGAACAAAUGUGUAAGUAACUAUGCACGUCUUGACGGUACCUAAUCAGAAAGCCACGGCUAACUACGUG
RNAcentral lists this ribosomal RNA (497 nucleotides) under uncultured bacterium. RNAcentral describes it as "partial 16S ribosomal RNA". It matches the Rfam family "Bacterial small subunit ribosomal RNA", at positions 28 to 507 of the family's 1533-position model. The record is from RNAcentral.